UACGUAGGGGGCAAGCGUUGUCCGGAUUUACUGGGCGAAAAGCGCGUGUAGGCGGCCACGCAGGUCCGUUGUGAAACCUGGAGGCUUAACCUCCAGACGUCGACGUAAACCGUGUGGCUAGAGUCCGGAAGAGGAGAGUGGAAUUCCUGGUGUAGCGGUGAAAUGCGCAGAUAUCAGGAAGAACACCAAUGGCGAAGGCAGCUCUCUGGGACGGUACUGACGCUGAGCCGCGAAUGCGUGGGGAGCGAACAGG
Molecule: ribosomal RNA, 253 nt
Filed under: uncultured bacterium
Lineage: Bacteria
Description: partial 16S ribosomal RNA
Rfam family: Bacterial small subunit ribosomal RNA
Source: RNAcentral